ACACACACACACAAACGCGCAUGCAUGCAUACAUACAUAAGUGCACCAUUCCCUACUGUAUUCUAAAAAAUUUUCACUCAUGUAUAAUUUAUUAAGUAUUACUAUUAUAUCUUAGUUUUUUUUCACUUGUUUUUAUUUUUGAAAAAUGUGUUUAUUAUGUAAUCAUGAAGAAAAAGGAGGGUUUGAAAAUUCAGCUAUAGGAACAUGGUCAAAAGGGGUAAGUCUUUUAAUCUGCUCUACUAUAUUUUUAUUACGUUUUUUUAACGAAAAAGAAAUUAACAUAUUUCAACAAACACAACCGAGUAAUGAAUAUUCAAUGAUAUAUUAUUUAAGUUUGUAUAAUUUGAUGGGUGCAUCAUCACUUUUAGUAUUUUCUUUAAUAGGACAUUUUUUUUAUAAGCCUUUGUUAAGACCAAUAUAUUUAAGUUCUUUUAUAAUUUCCUUAUUUUUAAUUUCUACUGGCAUUUAUACUACAUGUAUUAGCAAAAAUAUAUCUUUAAAAAUAAUUGGUAUAAUGGAUGCGUUAAAACUCCACCCAGAACACAUGCUUUUAAAAAAAAUACAUUAUCACUCUGAUAAUACUAAACUUAAAGAAUUACGUAAAAAAAUAUUAGAAGCAAAUGUACCUCAGGAUAGUAAAACUAAAAAUGGUAAUACCAAUGAUGAAAUAAAGUUUAAUGCGACUGAAAUUUUAAAAACAAUUGAAGAUAAAAAUAAAUUCCUUGAAACGCAAAAAAAAGCUUUAUUUCAAAAUUUAUCUAAUGAAGAAUUAAAAAAAAUAUUUGCAACUAUUGAGACUAAAUCUAGUAAUCUUGAAAACGCUAUAGUACAAGAACCUUUAAUUGCUGCACUUGACAAAAUGAAAAAUGUUAUAUAUAAUUUUGAUGUAUAUAAUAAAUUUUAUAAGUUUAUAGAAAAUAAUGCUCCUUAUAUAACCAACUCUGAAAAAAUAAAAUCAUUUGCAGAAAAUUUUAUAAGUAAUUAUAAAUUUUAUCGGAGGUCUUUUUUUGAUAUGUCAAAUUAUGAGUUAGUAAAUUAUGGUUCUGAUGUUGUGAAAAUAUACACAGAUUCAAUAGAUAAAAUAAAAAAAACAACAGAAAAAAAUCCAAAUGCUAAACUGCAUGAAUAUAUAGAUGAUUUAGAAAGAAGAAAUUUACUUAUUUUAUGCUCAGCAUUGAUAUUCAUGUCCUUUAUUUAUAUUCAUAAAGGAACUGCACUAACUGAAAAAAGUUCCAUAUCGAUAACAUUAUUGUAAACAAUUUUUUUUUUUUUUUUUUUUUUUUUAAAGAAAUGUGUGGAGAGGGUGAAACUUAUGCGUUUGUAUAUGUGUUUACACAUGUUUAUAUUUAGAUAAAUAAUUAAGUUGGAAUAAAUAUGCUAUAUAUGCAUUUGCCUAUUUCUUC
RNAcentral lists this long non-coding RNA (1403 nucleotides) under Piliocolobus tephrosceles (Ugandan red Colobus). RNAcentral describes it as "lncRNA (ENSPTEG00000000918.1)". Lineage: Eukaryota; Metazoa; Chordata; Mammalia; Primates; Cercopithecidae. The record is from RNAcentral.